RNAcentral lists this ribosomal RNA (468 nucleotides) under uncultured bacterium. RNAcentral's name for it is "partial 16S ribosomal RNA". It matches the Rfam family "Bacterial small subunit ribosomal RNA", at positions 29 to 507 of the family's 1533-position model. The record is from RNAcentral.
UACGAACGCUGGCGGCGUGCUUAACACAUGCAAGUCGAACGGAAAGGCCCUGCUUUUGUGGGGUGCUCGACUGUCUAACUGGUGAGUAACACGUGAGUAACCUGCCCUUGCCUUUGGGAUAACUUCAUGAAACUUGGUCUAAUACCGGAUAGGAUCUCCUGCUUCAUGGUGGGGGUUGGAUAGUUUCGGCGGUUGGGGAUGGACUCGCGGCUUAUCAGCUUGUUGGUGGGGUAGUGGCUUACCAAGGCUUUGACCGGUAGCCGGGCUGAGAGGGUGACCGGACAAAUUGGGACUGAGAUACGGCCCAGACUCCUACGGGAGGCAGCAGUGGGGAAUAUUGCACAAUGGGCGGAAGCCUGAUGCAGCAACGCAGCGUGCGGGAUGACGGCAUUCGGGUUGUAAACCGCUUUCGCCUGUGACGAAGCGUGAGUGACGGUAAUGGGUAAAGAAGCACCGGCUAACUACGUG